GUGGGCUAUGGGGACAUGCACCCCAUCACUAUUGGGGGCAAGAUUGUGGGGUCUCUGUGUGCCAUCGCGGGGGUGCUAACCAUUGCUCUGCCCGUGCCCGUGAUAGUCUCCAAU
Molecule: non-coding RNA, 114 nt
Organism: Anas platyrhynchos (mallard)
Lineage: Eukaryota; Metazoa; Chordata; Aves; Anseriformes; Anatidae
Source: Rfam